RNAcentral lists this long non-coding RNA (778 nucleotides) under Linum usitatissimum (flax). RNAcentral describes it as "long non-coding RNA (LUSI_LNC007733)". The record is from RNAcentral. Lineage: Eukaryota; Viridiplantae; Streptophyta; Magnoliopsida; Malpighiales; Linaceae.
AUGUCUGUCUGGAGCCUUCUUUCCCAUUGGCCUCUCGAGGAUGAAGCCGACGAUGACGAUGCAGAUGAUGAAGGAGAAGAAGUUCGUGAAGCUGGAGAAGAAUUCCGCUGAUGAUUAUCCGGUACGCCAUUAUUAAUCCUGUGAGGUGAAUUGUUGGACAAAUUUUUGAGCAGCUUCUUCUUCAGAUGAGUGUUCCAGUAGUUCUUAAUGUCGUUAUCUGUCCUCUCUGGGAGAUAUGAUGCUAUGGCUGCCCACCUGCAAUAAAAAAUCAACACUAACAGUUAAUUUUAUUUAAUUGAACAGUGCCAUAGAAGAUUAGAAAUUGCUAUAGCACCGAUCAUCAGCAACUAAUUGAAUAAUGUCUAAGUUAACCUUUUUUGCUUUGAUACACAGAUGACAGAUCUAGCUAAGUUAUUGAUUGGUUGAUGAAUUUGAUGAUGAGUUAGUAAUUACCUGUUGCCGAGAAGGGCUUGGAGAUGGGUGAUCAUUUGGUCUUCUUGAUGAGUGAAAUUGCCACGUUUGAUCCCAGGACGAAGGUAAUUAGUCCAUCUCAGCCGGCAGCUUUUGCUGCAUCUACGCAACCCUGCAUAAUAACACACAUACACAAUCUUAAACGCAAUAUUUAAGCAUAACCCAAUUUUCAUUGAUGAGAAAGCAGACAGCUUUACAAACCAGUGUUGGUGGGGAUGGAUCUCCAGUUAGAAGGGCCAUGGUGGUGAAUGUAGGAGACGAGAAGGAUGUCUUCUUCGGGAGUCCAUGGCCCUUUCUUAACUCCCCC